CCUACGGGGGGCAGCAGUGGGGAAUCUUGCACAAUGGAGGAAACUCUGAUGCAGCGAUGCCGCGUGAGUGAAGAAGGCCCUUGGGUUGUAAAGCUCUUUCGUCGGGGAAGAAAAUGACUGUACCCGAAUAAGAAGGUCCGGCUAACUUCGUGCCAGCAGCCGCGGUAAUACGAAGGGACCUAGCGUAGUUCGGAAUUACUGGGCUUAAAGAGUUCGUAGGUGGUUGAAAAAGUUAGUGGUGAAAUCCCAGAGCUUAACUCUGGAACUGCCAUUAAAACUUUUCAGCUAGAGUAUGAUAGAGGAAAGCAGAAUUUCUAGUGUAGAGGUGAAAUUCGUAGAUAUUAGAAAGAAUACCAAUUGCGAAGGCAGCUUUCUGGAUCAUUACUGACACUGAGGAACGAAAGCAUGGGUAGCGAAGAGGAUUAGAUACCCCCGUAGUC
RNAcentral lists this ribosomal RNA (440 nucleotides) under uncultured bacterium. RNAcentral's name for it is "bacterial SSU rRNA". It matches the Rfam family "Bacterial small subunit ribosomal RNA", at positions 338 to 795 of the family's 1533-position model. The record is from RNAcentral.